RNAcentral lists this ribosomal RNA (255 nucleotides) under uncultured bacterium. RNAcentral's name for it is "partial 16S ribosomal RNA". It matches the Rfam family "Bacterial small subunit ribosomal RNA", at positions 523 to 776 of the family's 1533-position model. The record is from RNAcentral.
UAGCGUAGGGUGCGAGCGUUUAAUCGGAAUUACUGGGCGUAAAGCGUGCGCAGGCGGUCUGUUAAGACCGAUGUGAAAUCCCCGGGCUUAACCUGGGAACUGCAUUGGUGACUGGCAGGCUUUGAGUGUGGCAGAGGGAGGUAGAAUUCCACGUGUAGCAGUGAAAUGCGUAGAGAUGUGGAGGAAUACCGAUGGCGAAGGCAGCCCCUGGGAUAACACUGACGCUCAUGCACGAAAGCGCGGGGAGCGAACAGG